GUGCUCGAUUUAGCAGCACAUGUGCUUAAAUUGGCACAAUGACAGAUUAGCAAAGCCCGUACACAAGGAUGAACACAAAUUCGUGAAUUGUUCCAUAUUCUU
This is a small nuclear RNA of Camelus dromedarius (Arabian camel), 102 nucleotides long. The record is from Ensembl. NCBI's taxonomy places the organism in Eukaryota, Metazoa, Chordata, Mammalia, Artiodactyla, Camelidae.